CUACGGGGGGCAGCAGUGGGGAAUUUUGGACAAUGGGCGAAAGCCUGAUCCAGCAAUACCGCGUGCAGGAAGAAGGCCCUCGGGUUGUAAACUGCUUUUGUACGGAACGAAACGGCGCGCUCUAAUAAAGUGCGCUAAUGACGGUACCGUAAGAAUAAGCACCGGCUAACUACGUGCCAGCAGCCGCGGUAAUACGUAGGGUGCGAGCGUUAAUCGGAAUUACUGGGCGUAAAGCGUGCGCAGGCGGUUUUGUAAGACAGGCGUGAAAUCCCCGGGCUCAACCUGGGAAUUGCGCUUGUGACUGCAAGGCUAGAGUACGGUAGAGGGGGGUAGAAUUCCGCGUGUAGCAGUGAAAUGCGUAGAUAUGCGGAGGAACACCGAUGGCGAAGGCAGCCCCCUGGACCUGUACUGACGCUCAUGCACGAAAGCGUGGGGAGCAAACAGGAUUAGAUACCCCUGUAGUC
Molecule: ribosomal RNA, 464 nt
Filed under: uncultured bacterium
Lineage: Bacteria
Description: partial 16S ribosomal RNA
Rfam family: Bacterial small subunit ribosomal RNA
Source: RNAcentral